GUGCUAGUGAGAACGUUGGACCCUAAGGGGGUGGAUUGUGAAAUCCCACAUCAGUUGUAGAGAGGAACAAAACCUUCCGAUAUGGAAAAGUCUAAAGAGGA
Molecule: long non-coding RNA, 101 nt
Organism: Cucurbita moschata (crookneck pumpkin)
Lineage: Eukaryota; Viridiplantae; Streptophyta; Magnoliopsida; Cucurbitales; Cucurbitaceae
Exons: 4
Source: RefSeq, a predicted model, not a curated record